UGAUCCCAGGAGAAAACAUUCUACUCCUCAACAUGGGUCUUGCCUGAUUCAUUUACCAACUAUGACAAGCUCGUGGCACAGAGGAAAAUGGACAUAAGGUAGCGGUAACAGGCUGGCGACUGUGGCUUUUACACAUUGCUUCACACAACCCUGUCCAGGAGUUUUACACACUCACUAAACAAACAGAAGACACCAUCCAAUUCACUGGAGCCCCGUUGGAUAAAUACGGAAAGAAUGUGGGAGCUAUGUCAUGAACCACAAUGGUUUUGUGUUCUGUGUAAUUUGAAGACGAGAUUCCUUUGCUGUGUGUCACCUCCCAUAUUACCACUGUCGCCCAACAUUUCAUAACCAUCAACUCUUUGCCAGUGCCCACAUGCAAAGAUGGGUUUGUAUUAAAAAAUAAAUGAGAACAGCACAUUCUGAUGUGGUGUAGUAUAUCAGCAUUUUCCAUGAAACCUCGUCUCCGGCCUUCCCCUUUUAGGAAACAAAGGACCCGUGACAGAGCCUACUUAUCCCGUUACAGCUCCUGGUGAGAAGGGCGAAGCCAUGUCAGAAAUAAUAGAAAAGGCUUUUUCCUUUGAAAUAUCUAAACGUUCAAAGAUGGGAACAGCCGCAGGGGGGAGAAUACUGUGCUAUGCAAGUUGAUCUGAUUUUGUGGACCAUCCAUUUCCAAUUGGGAAGCUCACUUACUUUCAACUUGAAGCAUCAGAAAACCAGACUUACAGCAGCUUCAGCCUAUAGGGGUUUAUUUUUCUCAUGUAACAAGAAGAACAGAAGUGGACAGAGGCCGAGUUCUCAAGGACUCAGUUUCUUUCUGUCCCACCAACCUUACCAUGUUGGAUUGUCAUCUUUGUGCUUGUUGCCUCAUGAUGGCAAGAUGGCUGCAGCACCUCUGGGACUCACGACUGAUUUUUAAGACUACAGAGCCUAAGUCAAAGCUUGUUCUUGGACCCAGGAAAUAUGUCAAAUCCUUCCAGUGAAUGGUGCCUUUCAGGAUUGGAGACUACUCCCCCAGUUGCUGAUGGUGUGGUCAGCCCUCAGUUUUCAGUCCUCUUUGGGAAUUGCCUUGGAUGAAGAAAGUCACCUCACCCAAGAUCACUCCAACUCCUGGGACCCACAUCCAAUGAUUGGCCAAUAUGGGGACUCAAAGGCCUGGUCCCCCUUCCCCAACUUGAGACUACUCUGAAGGAUCACCCAGCUUCAGAGCUUCCCAUGGUUGAGACUUUUAGACUUCACUGUGGUCCAACCAAUCUCUUCCUAUACACGGUCCUGACUCCUUCACUUCCCUCCCAGCACUUCUUCUGUGUUAAUAUCAAACUUCUGUGCUAAUAACAAACUUCUUCCGUGCUAAUAUCUCUCAGUGUCUCCUUCCCUGGGAACUCAACCCUAGAUUGUUUAUACCAGCAGUGAUCCAAGAAAGAGAUGCCAACAUGAGAUUUUGGAAUUGGAUCACCUACCAUCCAGCUGGCAGUGCAGACCCCAUCAGUGGCAGUAGAAGAAGUACAUAUAGUCCGUAGCACAAGAUAGCAGUGAAAUUGUUAAAACUUUUGCC
This 1552-nucleotide long non-coding RNA is filed under the name Homo sapiens (human). RNAcentral's name for it is "HSALNT0022967". The record is from RNAcentral. Lineage: Eukaryota; Metazoa; Chordata; Mammalia; Primates; Hominidae.